AAUAAACGUUGUCAUGAGUUUCCGUGUUCAACUUUGACCAUCAAUUUUAUUUAAAUUUUUUUAUAAUUAAUAUUUUUAUUGUUAUUAGAUUAUAAAAUAUAAAUAAUAUUUUAUGUGACCUGAUGCUUUUUAGGUUUUUUUAAAAAAAAUUAAAUAAGACGAACAGUUAAAGUUGGACACGAAAAUUGAUGGUUGCGCUUAUU
Non-coding RNA from Oryza nivara, 203 nucleotides. Lineage: Eukaryota; Viridiplantae; Streptophyta; Magnoliopsida; Poales; Poaceae. The record is from Rfam.